RNAcentral lists this unclassified non-coding RNA (368 nucleotides) under uncultured bacterium. RNAcentral's name for it is "contains 16S-23S intergenic spacer region". The record is from RNAcentral.
UCCGACUUCUGGCCGGCAGUCUCGCCAGAACAUCUAACUGGCGACGAGGGUUGCGCUCGUUGCGGGACUUAACCCAACACCUCACGGCACGAGCUGACGACAGCCGUGCAGCACCUGUGGACGCUCCCUCACGGGUCCCUCAGCUUUCACCUCGGUACCACGUCCAUGUCAAGCCCUGGUAAGGUUCUUCGCUUAGCGUCGAAUUGAACCACACGCUCCCCCGCUUGUGCGGGCCCCCGUCAAUUCCUUUGAGUUUUAACCUUGCGGCCGUACUCCCCAGGCGGGACACUUAUCGCGUUAGCUCCGGCCCGCAACCGGUCUUGUUCCCGGCCGCAGACCUAGUGUCCAUCGUUUACGGCGUGGACUAC